RNAcentral lists this ribosomal RNA (483 nucleotides) under Clostridioides difficile. RNAcentral's name for it is "partial 23S ribosomal RNA". It matches the Rfam family "Bacterial large subunit ribosomal RNA", at positions 2440 to 2925 of the family's 2925-position model. The record is from RNAcentral. Lineage: Bacteria; Bacillati; Bacillota; Clostridia; Peptostreptococcales; Peptostreptococcaceae.
GGCCAUCGCUCAACGGAUAAAAGCUACCCUGGGGAUAACAGGCUUAUCUCCCCCAAGAGUCCACAUCGACGGGGAGGUUUGGCACCUCGAUGUCGGCUCAUCACAUCCUGGGGCUGUAGUAGGUCCCAAGGGUUGGGCUGUUCGCCCAUUAAAGUGGUACGCGAGCUGGGUUCAGAACGUCGUGAGACAGUUCGGUCCCUAUCCGUCGCAGGCGUAGGAAAUUUGAGAAGACCUGUCCUUAGUACGAGAGGACCGGGAUGGACGUACCUCUGGUGUACCAGUUGUUCUGCCAAGGGCAUGGCUGGGUAGCUAUGUACGGAAUGGAUAAGCGCUGAAAGCAUCUAAGCGCGAAGCCAACUUCAAGAUAAGAUUUCCCACCGCAAGGGUAAGACCCCAGAAAGACUAUCUGGUUGAUAGGUCGAAGGUGUAAGUGCAGCAAUGUAUUUAGCUUAUCGAUACUAAUAGGUCGAGGACUUGACCAAU